Non-coding RNA from Durio zibethinus, 4416 nucleotides. NCBI's taxonomy places the organism in Eukaryota, Viridiplantae, Streptophyta, Magnoliopsida, Malvales, Malvaceae. The record is from RefSeq and is a predicted model, not a curated record.
GGUUUCCUUUUUCUUAUGAAAUAGUUUGGAGUGGACCGUAGGUUGGUAUUUUUUUUAUGAAUCUGAAGAAGAAGCAAAGGCGAAAUCAAUUGUUUCAGCAGUCGUGGAGAAGUUGGGUUCGUUGAUGAUGAUCCCCGAAGAGAUAAAACACAAUGUUGGGAUUGCCCUGGCUCUUGAGGAAGAAAUCCAAAAAAUGACAACCCAUUUUCAGGAUAUCCAAUCAGUUCUUCAAGAUGCAGAUCGAAACAGAUACAGGAUGCCAAUGUGAGAAAUUGGUUAAAGAAACUCAAAGAUGUGGCCUAUGAUGUUGAUAAUGUGUUAGAUGAGUGGAAUACAGCGAAACUCAGAUCUCAACUUGCGAAAGAACAAAAAGAAGUUGAAGAUUUUCCCUUGCUAAAGAAGAUACGCUAUUCUAUCUCUUCUUUUACCUCUCAAAGUAUUCUGUACUAUAGUAUUGCUUCAAAGAUAAACGGCUUGAAUGAACAACUUGAUUGUAUAGCUACUGAAAAAGAAAGGUAUAGGCUUGCGUUAGAGAAGGGAGUUGAAGAACCCAAAAGGCAAAUAACUGCGUCUUUCACCGAUGAAGAAGAGGUUUAUGGUAGGUGUCAAGAGACAACAAUUCUAGUGAACAUGUUGGUCGGAGAGAAUAGUAACGGAGGAGGGGCGAGCCUCCAUGUCAUCUUUAUAGUAGGGAUGGGAGGAAUUGGAAAAACGACUCUUGCUCAGCUGGUUUACAAUCACAAUGAUGUUGAAUGUCAUUUUGACAAGAGAAUAUGGAUGUGUCUCGGACACUUUCGAUGAAAGAAGGAUUGCCACAGAGAUCCUUGAAACAUUUAAAGGCGAAACUCCAAAUUUUGUUGGAAAGGACAACAUUAUGCAGCAAAUUCGUAGUCAUGUUGUGGGGAACAAAAUACUCCUCGUGUAGGAUGAUGUGUGGACUGAAGAUCCAACAAAAUGGGAGCAAUUGAAAAAUUCCCUCAAGUAUUGCUCUAUUGGGAGUAGAAUUUUGAUAACCACUCGUAAUGAAAGAGUUGCUAUAACUAUGGGAACAACAACAGUAUAUUUAUUUCCAUUACAUUCCCUGUGAAUGUUGUUCAUUACUUAGCCAUAGAGCAUUCUAUGGUAGGAGAAGAGAGGAGAGUGAAAAUUUAAAAGAUAUCUGCAGGAAAAUUGCAGAAAAGUGCCACGGCUUGUCACUUGCUGCAAAGAUUCUAGGCGGCCUGCUGCGGUUCAAGAGAACCAGAGAACAAUGGCAAAGUUUCUUGGAUAGCAAGAUAUGGGGCAUUCAAGAGGCUGAACGAGAUCUUUUCCCUCCAUUGUUUUUGAGUUAUUGCGAGUUACCUUCAGCUCUUAAGCAGUGAAUUUCUCAUUGUGCUGUCUUUCCGAAAGGCAAGAUCUUAAGCAAAGAUGAAUUGAUCAAGUUGUGGAUGGCUCAAGAUUACCUGAAGGCAGUACGAGGUGAAGAGAUGGAGAUUGAGGGUGUGGAAUAUUUUGAUGAGCUAAUGAUGCGAUCUUUUUUUCAGGAUUUUAAAAGGGUUGAACUUGAUAAUGGUAUUCUGGAAUUUAAAAUGCAUGAUAUAGUACACAAUUUUCUUCAACUUUUAACGAAAACUGAAUGUUUGGUGCUAGUAAAUGAUGGUUUUCAAGAGUUCAGAGUAGAUUCUUCUUGUGAAAAGGCUCAUCAUGUAACAUUGAUUUGCAAAGAACUUGUACCAACUGACCCUGAUAUUUGCUACUUCAAAAAGGUGCGAAGCCUCCUUAAUGACUCAGGCAAUCAUGAUACUUCAUCAGUAAGCAUAUUUUUGCCCGAGUUGUUUGAUCAACUGACUUGUAUAAGGACAUUAAAUUUGAGUGGCAGUUUGUUUGGAAAUUCAGUUGACGAACUUCGUAAUCAAAUAGGAAAGUUGGUUCAUUUGAGAUACCUUAACUUGAAACAUAAUAGAAAAUGGAAAGAAUUACCUGAAUCAGUAUGCGAGUUAUGUAAUUUACAAACCUUAAACCUCACAUGGUGUGAUAGUCUUAAAGAAUUGCCAUGUGGAAUUGGAAAAUUAGUUAACUUGAGGCAUCUUGAUAAUGAACGGAUGGACUUGAGCUUGAUGGCAGUGCCGAAAGGAAUUGGAAGAUUAACAAACCUUCGGACACUAAGGGUGUUCGUGGCAGUGGAUGGUGGCACUAAUAACGAAGCAUCUACUCUUGAAGAUCUUCAAAACAUAAUGCAUCUUCGAGGACAUCUUAAGGUAAGUGGAUUAGCAGUUCGUGAUGUGACUGAAGCUGAGAGAGCAGAACUUCAAAACAAAAAAGGCCUUCGCAGUUUGAUACUAGAUUUUACUAUUUCCAAGGGGUUGAUGCCAGAGACAUGGAUGAGAAGAGAUGAUGGAAGACUUCUUAAAGCUUUACAACCACCUCCUUGCUUGGAAAAGUUAGAGAUAUGGUGCUACAAUAGCACCAUCAUUUUCCCCAACUGGAUGAUGGUUCUAACCAAGCCGAGGCAUGUUUCACUGUGUUUAUGCUUUCAUUUAAACUUGUUGCCUCCCUUGGGGAAAUUGUCAUCCCUCGAAUCACUUUACAUAGGGAAAAUGAGAAGAGUAGAGAAAGUGGGAGUUGAAUUUUUGGGUGUAGAAAGAGAAGAGAUAUCGGCAUUAUCCUCAUCUUCAUCAUCUAUCAUUGCCUUUCCUAGUUUAAAACAUCUUUAAUUUUGUGAUGUGGAAGAGUGGGAUUAUUGGAUCCCAUUAAAGAGCAGAGAAGAAGAAGAACAUAUUAGUAUUAUGCCUGGGCUGGGUUCCCUAACAAUUGAUUCCUGUCCAAAGUUAAGGGCACUGCCAGGCUACAUUCUUCAGAAUACAAAUCUAAAGCAAUUGGAUAUAGGUCAGAGUCCUAUUCUUUCAGAACGUUGCAGAAAGGAGACAGGAAAGGAGUGGCCUAAAAUCUCUCAUAUCCCUAGCAUCAUAAUUGAUGGUCUAUGCUUGCAAGUUCACUGCUCUUCUAUUGAAGAGUUUGGAGUUUUGCAAUUGCAACCACCACAAAAGCUCUUUGUCAAGUUCUAACAAUUUCCUCAAAGCGUUUCAAGAAAAUUGAUGUGUAUCAAAAAGGAGAGGAACUGGAUUUUCAGGCAAGUAAGUUGGGAUGUCAUUGCCUAGAAGGAAGGUGAUUAAAGCAUGUUGUGUCUCUUUGUUUCUUAAGAUUUUGCUUGAUACUAGUGAAGAUGGAAACACUUGGACGAGAAUAGUGAAAGAAUCAGCGUUAUCAUUUAUCGUACCUUGAUCGUCCGUUUUGAAAUUGAAGUGUCACUUCCCCGUUCAUCCCAAUUGUUGCAUUUUAUUAUACUUAUUUCUUUUCUUCUAGGUACAUUUAGUACAAAGGAGCAAAGUUAUUUAAGCUCUGCGCUUUAAGAUGAUUUAAGAAAAUGAAGAAACUUUCAAUCUCUUUGUUCUUUUGGGGUUAUAAUAUAAAUUGCUGUACUAUCUACCCUUUAAACUGAAAUUUCCAACAAAUUUAAAGCAUAAGAGAACCUAGUAUAAAUUAAGGACUUGACUUUUAUUGCUCUCACAUCUACAUUGCCAAGCAACAAUCUCAGAAAGUUUGCAAUUGGUGGUUUUUAAUUGUAUCGCUCUUGCAUUUGGAUAGCAUUUUCAGCUUUUAUUGUUUUUUCAGGGGAUUGGGGGAAAAAAUCGGUGAACCAUUGAGUCAUAAGACAGUUCAUUACUUUAGUUUAAAAUUAAAAUAAAAGAUAUUUUUAAUUAUGAUACUUCUAGUUGAAUAGUCCACCAUUCAUCGUUAUUUCUGUAUUUAUGUUUAAAUAUAUAUUUUUAUCAUUCAUUUAAAUCUCAAUUCUAUUAUUACAACAAUUAAUCUUAUCAAUCUCAUCAUCAACAUCAUUAUUUUCAUUUUCAGAGUCUAUCAUACAAUCAAAUGACAUUUUUUCUGUUUUAUUUACAACUUGUAUACCUAAAGUUAGCCAUCCGGAAAAGUUUACCAAACCGUUUCAAGGCAUUGACAAUGACACAGAAUGAUAUCUGCAGCAAAAUAUUUAGUAAUUAAAUUUAAUAGUACUUUGGCUUAAAUAUUCAGCAAACAAAAAUCACCCAACACCCUUGCUGCACCAUAUAACUAAUCAUUUCUCAUUGCUUUUCCAUCAAAUGAUCAAAACCCAAAUCUCUUCUGCUACAAAGAGAAGAAAUAAAACUUUCACAAUUGGCCACAGUCACAAACAAACUUAAUAAAGAGAAAGCAAACAAAAAACCCACCUUCCUCUGAACAUAAACACUCUCUCUUCCUUACACACUCCUAAGUCCUAAGUAACAUUUUUCUCACACAUACAACCUUCACCACCAGCAGAACCACUGUCGCCGUACCACUACAUUGCUUUGCCACACCAACCUCGUGAUUAAAACUACGUCAUUUUGCCCUACUAUCACC